Long non-coding RNA from Lagopus muta (rock ptarmigan), 1038 nucleotides. RefSeq lists it as uncharacterized. The transcript has 4 exons. The record is from RefSeq and is a predicted model, not a curated record. NCBI's taxonomy places the organism in Eukaryota, Metazoa, Chordata, Aves, Galliformes, Phasianidae.
AAGGAUCUCUUCUGAAGAUCCCCUCCUAUGGAGUUUUGUAGUGAGCACAGUGUAUGGGGUAUAUUUGUGAUGCCUCAGAAGAAAGUGUGCAGCUACCUGGGAGUAGAGAGCUCUUGCAAGUAAACCUGUAGAGUAAGGACUCAGAGUGGAACUGCUGUCUAUUCACUGGUUCAUCUGAGGACUAAGCCUUGAGGGAAAAAGUUGAAGUGUGAAGCCUGAAGGUGAGCCUAGACGUAGCAGACACCAAGUUGAACAGCAAGCAAUGUGAUUUUUCAAAAAUGAGCCUUGUACAGAUUAGUGUAUUUUAUCAGUAGUUCACAUGCUCAUAACUUGAUGCUGAUUUUCUCUGUACUUAGUGAGAAGAGCUAGGGACUGUACAAGUGUUCCUUCAGCUGAAGUCAUAGUACUACGUUGAAAUUUUGACUAGCAAAGCAAGGCAGUAUGAGAUCAAGGGUAAGAAUACAGAAAUUUCUGCCUUCAUGCAAAAGCAUUUUGUAAAAAUAUUUUGCAAAAAUAUUCUGCUAAAAGCAUUUAAUUUUAGUAGUGCUGUUAUUGGGUAACCAUAAUGAAAUUACCACCUUGUUCAGAGCUUGGUCUUCCAGUAAUUUGAAGUGAACAUGUCAGAAACACACUGCCAGCAAAAAUAUAUUUCAGUUCUAGCUGGGUACAAGAUGUGUUUCUACUGUGUUAGCUGGCUAAUGGGCUGUGAGGCUUGUAGAGAUAGCAAUGCACAUAACAGCCUGUAUAUUAGUUAAACUACGACUUCGGUAAAUACUUCUGGGAAGACUUCAUUGUUGUGAUUAAAAUAUUUACAAGCAAAAAUAUCUAUGUUUUUUGACGUAUCUCUGUUCAGGGGUGUUACUCAAACAUUUUGAGUAACAUCUGAUUUUUCCAAAACUAUUGUUUGGCAAAGUGUCUGGGGAUUUCAUUAGUUCACUGAACUUUAGCUUCUGGGUUUGUGUAGAAGCUACUAGGAAACAUUCAUAUUAACUUCUGGAAAAUAUGGUACAUUGUUAUGUAAACUCGUCGUCUUGUAAA